This is a long non-coding RNA of Micropterus dolomieu (smallmouth bass), 684 nucleotides long. RefSeq lists it as uncharacterized. The transcript has 3 exons. NCBI's taxonomy places the organism in Eukaryota, Metazoa, Chordata, Actinopteri, Centrarchiformes, Centrarchidae. The record is from RefSeq and is a predicted model, not a curated record.
UAGUGGAACAGCGUGGCAGGACAAGUUGUACAGUCCACUCAUGUGAACAUUUGUGUGAACAUUUGUGAAUGGAAAGACAAAGACACAGAGGAAGCUUAAGUGCCUGAUUGCUCAACGCUUCUGUGGUGAAAUCGAAGGCUUGUCCUGUGGCAUGUGACCUACACAUGACUGAGAGGCUGUGGAGGGGCUGCUUCGACACUACUGGACUGACAACUGAGUCAUGCUCAACACUAGGAGCAGAGGCUGUUCCAGUCCACAGCUGCUGUUUGUGGUUCGUAGGCAAAACGCUGUAAUGUCACUGUGGAGGUCAAUCAGCCCCUGUCCACCUUCUGUUACAGGAUCCAACCUAUCCCGCUCCAUGACCUCUGCCUCUACCUUUCCACCUGUGACACUGACGGCCAUGUCAACUUUAACUAUACUUGACACCACUGACAUCAAGACUCCAUCUGGAAACAUCAGCAGCUACUUUCCCUCAUAAAUGGCCAUUAACCUAAAAUUGAGUUUAUGCCAAUUGUCUUUGAAACUAGUCCGACCUGAUUGACCUGUCAGGGUAGUAACCUCUCCACUUUCCUUUAAAUAUACACACAGACCGCACACAAAAUGGCAAAUACAGAGACAGGAUUUUAAACAAUCUGAUUUAUUCAAUGAUUGAAUUUUACAAUAAAGUGAAAAGUUUGAGCAUUU